RNAcentral lists this ribosomal RNA (388 nucleotides) under uncultured eukaryote. Its description in RNAcentral is "SSU rRNA". It matches the Rfam family "Eukaryotic small subunit ribosomal RNA", at positions 587 to 972 of the family's 1831-position model. The record is from RNAcentral.
AGCUCCAAUAGCGUAUAUUGAAAUUGUUGCAGUUAAAAAGCUCGUAGUUGGAUCUGAGGUGGGAGUCGUUAGUUCAGUGUUUCGCUGCGACUAUAUGUACUCUACCUUACACAGUCAUUAGACGCCUUGUGGUGCUCUUCAUUGAGUGCUAUAGGGUGCAUGGCACGUUUACUUUGAAAAAAUUAGAGUGCUCAAAGCAGGCCUUUGUGCUUGUAUAAUCUUGCAUGGAAUAAUGGAAUAGGACUUCGGUUCUAUUUUGUUGGUUUUCGGAAUCGGAGUAAUGAUUAACAGAGACUGCCGGGGGCAUUUGUAUGGUGGCGUUAGAGGUGAAAUUCUUGGAUCGCCGCCAGACAAUCUACUGCGAAAGCAUUUGCCAAGAAUGUCUUCA